CUUAUGCGGAUCCCAGGAACUAAGAACAGGAAUUAGGCAGACCUCCCAGAGCUCUGCAGCAAGAAUGUAUCCAGUACAGAAACAAGGCAAGGCAAGACUCAGAUAGUCACCAAACAUGAAAACAAGACAGAACUAGUAGAACCCAGAACCAGAGAAGGAUAGGAAGCUAAACCCAGAGCAUGUACACAAUACGUAAGGGGGCAUUAACUAAACAGGGGCAGGGCAGGACUGUACAUGGACUGGGAUUACAAAAUAAAACAAGACAAGAUAUAAUAGGCAAAACAAGAGGAGACAUAACUAAGCACUCUAUAUGAAAAGUAUGGGGAUUUAGUUACAUUAUAUGAUCAUACAUUGCAUAAGCCUGCCACAACGUCAA
This is a non-coding RNA of Pelobates cultripes (western spadefoot toad), 376 nucleotides long. Lineage: Eukaryota; Metazoa; Chordata; Amphibia; Anura; Pelobatidae. The record is from the annotation of a GenBank genome assembly.